Molecule: transfer RNA, 99 nt
Filed under: Symploca sp. SIO2D2
Lineage: Bacteria; Bacillati; Cyanobacteriota; Cyanophyceae; Coleofasciculales; Coleofasciculaceae
Description: tRNA-Trp
Rfam family: tRNA
About the family: Transfer RNA (tRNA) molecules are approximately 80 nucleotides in length. Their secondary structure includes four short double-helical elements and three loops (D, anti-codon, and T loops). Further hydrogen bonds mediate the characteristic L-shaped molecular structure. tRNAs have two regions of fundamental functional importance: the anti-codon, which is responsible for specific mRNA codon recognition, and the 3' end, to which the tRNAs corresponding amino acid is attached (by aminoacyl-tRNA synthetases). tRNAs cope with the degeneracy of the genetic code in two manners: having more than one tRNA (with a specific anti-codon) for a particular amino acid; and 'wobble' base-pairing, i.e. permitting non-standard base-pairing at the 3rd anti-codon position.
Source: RNAcentral
AGGGGUGUAGCGCAGCUUGGUAGCGCGUCUGCUCCCAAAGCAGAAUGUCGUAGGUACUCCUUUGGAGAACGCUAGCGCGAACAAAUCCUGCCACCCCGA